GCCUGGCUGGCUCAGUUGGUAGAGCAUGUAACUCUUGAUCUCAGGGUUGUGAGUUCAAGCCCCACACUGGGCA
This 73-nucleotide transfer RNA is filed under the name Ursus americanus (American black bear). It matches the Rfam family "tRNA". From Rfam's summary of the family: Transfer RNA (tRNA) molecules are approximately 80 nucleotides in length. Their secondary structure includes four short double-helical elements and three loops (D, anti-codon, and T loops). Lineage: Eukaryota; Metazoa; Chordata; Mammalia; Carnivora; Ursidae. RNAcentral also lists the same sequence under 2 other names. The record is from Rfam by way of RNAcentral.